CAUUGAGAUCUGUUGGGUCUAGAGGGUCAGGCCCUGCGGUGUGCCCCGUCGCCUCCCCCUCCGAAAGGCCGUAGUAAAGCUUCAGCAUCCCGUGAGCCUUCCGCCGACGCUCUGGAGCGUCCGCCUCGGAACCUUCUGGGGAGUCCCCAGGCCCGGACCCUAGGCCAGGACCCACAGAUGCCGCGGCCGCCAUAGCUCCAACCUCAACACAAGGGGACAGGGUUUCUCUGCUUAGCCCUGACUGUCCUGGAACUGGCCCUGUAGACCAACCUAGUGCGGACAUCUGCCUGUCUCUGCCUCCCGCGUGUUGGGACUAAAGGAGUGUGAUACCACUGUCACCAGCUCUACUGCCCAACUAAAAACCGUUCUGAAUAGUAUUAAAAUUAACUUGCCAUCUGUCCA
This is a long non-coding RNA of Grammomys surdaster, 402 nucleotides long. RefSeq lists it as uncharacterized. The transcript is spliced from 2 exons. NCBI's taxonomy places the organism in Eukaryota, Metazoa, Chordata, Mammalia, Rodentia, Muridae. The record is from RefSeq and is a predicted model, not a curated record.